RNAcentral lists this unclassified non-coding RNA (228 nucleotides) under Hevea brasiliensis (rubber tree). The record is from RNAcentral. Lineage: Eukaryota; Viridiplantae; Streptophyta; Magnoliopsida; Malpighiales; Euphorbiaceae.
GGAAUAAAGAGCUCUUAUAUGGAAGCGAAAUGCAUAGGAGGGUGUUUUCUGAUGCGGAAGCUUGUCACCAAGUUCCUUCAGAAAAUCACUUUAUUAUGCCGGCAAGAAAAUAAUUACACAAAUUUCAAACCUAGAAACAAAUUAAGAUCAAGAAGCUUUUAUUACCCUUACGCCUCAACGUAGUCUUAUAUCACAGUCCCGCUCAACGUAGUCUUAUAUCACAGUCCC